UUCACCGUACCCCUUUUGCUAGUUGUUCGGUGGACCGUCGCGGAGGCGCCCGCCGGCGACGAACUGCAAGGCUGCGAGGAAUGCCGGCGCCCUAAGAAGGUACGCGCUUAUUCGCUUUCCUUGUCUUUCUCUGCCGCGCCGAUCUCGGUCAUCGCCGGACGCCCGCUACUCCAUAGAGCCACCGAGAUUUACUUCUGGGAAGCGGCGGGGUGCAGAAGCACCACAACGGCCGUCAGGGAUUCGCCACCCUUCUGUGCUGCGCUGAGGUUUGUCCAAAACCAUGGGUACCUGGCUAGCUGAGUUACCUUGGUGCCUCGUACCACAUUAAUUGAGAAUAGGGUCACUGAUUUCUCUCGUCAACAAUUAGAUUCUGGUUACAGGCGCUAUUUCAGGAUUCAGGCUACUGUUGGACCAUUUGAUUUCAUAUUUACCCAUCUAUGCUUAUCUAUUGUUAAUAUGUUGUUUCCAUGUAAAUUGGCAUUCAUUUCCAUGCCCAAUAUCCACCACCGAAAACCUGGAUUUGAAUUAUGUCUUCAGUUCCAAAUACCGUGAAGACUGCGUUUCUGAUGCCUAAUAGCAUAAUUGGGGGCCAGGUUUUAGGAGGUUUGAAACUUCUCUUUUGCAUACCUACAAUCAUCUCUGGGUAGGUUUAAUAUCUGAUACAUCAUGGACUAGUGCUAUAUGUUCAAUUUGGCUUCCACCUUCUGUGCCCCAUUAAACUUGGACAUUGGUGGGUCAUUAGCGUAUCUGAGCUCUGGUUAAUGUAGUUGCCAAAGCAUAUGAUCUCUUUUUUUCGAUAUUAUGUUGUUAUCCUAUAUUUUUUCAGUUUCUACUAAAUUCUUGAUGCUUCUUGAUUGCAUAGAGCUGACAACUGUUUUCUUAUAAGUUAUGUUUAAAAUAGAUGGAAACCAGGGAGACGUGCAAGACACAUUGUAGAUUUCUGUCUCAGCUUUUAUUAGUUUAGAUGAUUUUGUUAGGCUAGUACAAGCAUUGCAAAUGUCAGUCACUCAAUGCUUCCGUUCUUGCUGUUGUUUUGCUCAACAGGCAAUGGGCUAGUUUUUUUUUUUUUUUGGUGGUUGAGGGCAGCAGUUGGCUAGAGUUGGGGACCUCUGAUGCACUAGAUCUAAUUCCCAUAUACGUCAUAUCUUUAUUGGUGGUUAUUUCGUUCAUUGUUUGUAGGAUGUAUUGCUGCAGAGUUGGUUAUUGGAGUCGCGAUGAAGCUCCACAGUGUGCAUUUGUUAUUUUGUGUUGCGAAACAUGCUUAGCUGGUGGGGCUGGACUGAAAUGUGGAGCAAUGGGAGACACCAAUCUAAUCUUCAAUGGCAAUCAUUUAAGUUGAUUAUUCAUGAAGAUGAGACUACUAAAUUGGCAGAAUUCUGUUCAAGCAUCGUGAGGACAAAUCACUCCAUUGGUGCAUUGUGUCAAACAGGCUUGCAUAUCAAGUCUUCGCCCGUGUGAAUUUCCAUUGAGGAUAUGUGCCAAAUACUCCAAAGCAACUUUGUAGGUGGUGAGGCAGAAGCUUGCAACCUAGAAUGACUGACAGUGUCUUAAAAUGGUGCACCAAUACUUCUUGAGAUUGUCUCUUAGUAGUCCGCUCACAAUUGUUGCCAAAGGGCUGCAUUCUCUUAAUAAAGUCUCAAUGAUACCUUUCCCAAUAACUAGUAACUUUCAGUAUUCUUCAGGAUGUUCACCACCUAAUGCAUUUCCAUGAACAGGCAGCCAAGGUCUUCCAUUGGCAAGAAUUCUACAGGAAGAAUAUUACUCCUAUCCAUCCUGCAUGCCAAGUGUUCGUAUAUAGUGGUAAUGAUAACCUUGCUUCCUGCCUUGCUAAUCCCCAAUUGUACUAUGAGUAUGUCAUCCACUGCACGGGGUUAGCAACAAACACCAUCAAGAACCGGUAGAAAUCUCUCUGUUCUUAGCCUUGGCCCUUGGGUCUAUCUUGUAUGCAACCAGUGAAUUCCAGUUUCUUGCACAAGGACCUCAUUAUGACUCAUUCUGGACCAGGGUUUUCUCUGCAACACACCCAUAUUACCAUUGAGAAGUGGCUCUUCACUAUUUCAUUUUUCCAGACAAGAUGUGUCAUCAGGGUGGUUUUACCUACUACUUUUCUUCCCCAUAUGAGGGUACAUAACCUUAUGGAAUUGAUGAUACAGUUGUUGAUCUCUGACCAAAUCUUUUUAUGUAAGUACUAUGGAUCUGGUAUACAGUUGGUUUCAACAAGAAGUCAAUGGCGCACUGCCUCUCCUUGAUUCGAACGAUGACCAUGUCAUGCAUGGACACAAUCACACAGAUAGGAUGAUCGGUCGAUGCACCACAGCCUGGUUGCCCAGCAACUAUUUCAACCUUCUUAACAUUGUCAUCUAUGCUAAUGGUUGUUUCCUUGCAUGACAGGUACAUUGCAGUAGCAACUUUGAUACCCUUGAAAGUGUUGCUGGAAUUGACUAGGGCAGAACUCACCUCAUCAGUGCGAUAUCUCCAGUCCCGCGGCACCCAGCCUCCUUCACAUGCUGCAUCCUCAAGCUUGCAGAUCCAGAGGAGCAGCCACGCAUUGGUGAUGGCUCACCCCCUGACCUUUUUUGUUUUACCCAGCCUGAAAUUCGCUCCCACGAGGAUUCGAACCCAGGUCAUUGCAACCGCUUGGCUGCUACACACUCCUUUGCAACAUGCAUGUUUAUGAUGCAGUUAAAACAUGCAUAUUUAAUAAAUCUGAACACAUACAAAACUACAAUCACUAAAAUCCCUAUAACUUUUAUAAUAUAAGAUUCAAAUCACAUAACAGAUAAAUCUGCAAAAAUUAUAAUCACUCAAAUCCCUUUAACUUCUAUACAAUAAGCAGCUGCUGCCAAGGUCGAUCGAGGCCAUCGGCAUGUCUGCUCCGGCUAAUGCAACGGGGAGUCCGGCGGUGUCCAGUGUUAGCUGCAGCCACAAAGAUGGAGGUGCAGCCUGCUGGAGGUGUGCAUCAAUCUGGAAUAUUUGUUCAGCUGACUGUGCUUGUUCAUGUGCUAUGGUUAUUGUCCUCUUCUCUCUUUUACUCGAAUAUUUUGAAUAUUGUGCUCUGCUUGCUGCAGGUUCCAGGAAAUGUCUUCCUAUGAAUAUUGAAAUGUGUCAUGUCUGUUAUCUCCCUCACUGUCUAUAAUAGUGCAGAUUUGCUUUCGAACCUUGUAAA
This is an RNA transcript of Setaria italica (foxtail millet), 3166 nucleotides long. RefSeq lists it as uncharacterized. The record is from RefSeq and is a predicted model, not a curated record. The transcript has 4 exons. NCBI's taxonomy places the organism in Eukaryota, Viridiplantae, Streptophyta, Magnoliopsida, Poales, Poaceae.